This 85-nucleotide transfer RNA is filed under the name Flavobacteriaceae bacterium. RNAcentral describes it as "tRNA-Tyr". It matches the Rfam family "tRNA". From Rfam's summary of the family: Transfer RNA (tRNA) molecules are approximately 80 nucleotides in length. Their secondary structure includes four short double-helical elements and three loops (D, anti-codon, and T loops). The record is from RNAcentral. Lineage: Bacteria; Pseudomonadati; Bacteroidota; Flavobacteriia; Flavobacteriales; Flavobacteriaceae.
GGGGAGAUACUCAAGCGGCCAACGAGGACAGACUGUAAAUCUGUUGGUUUUACCUUCGCAGGUUCGAAUCCUGCUCUCCCCACUA